CGUUAAAUGAAGAAAUACCAUCCUUGCUCUGCGAUGGCCGUCAAACAUACACUUGAGAAUUCUGUGUGAGGGUACUGUAGCAUCGGGUUACUGUACACCAAUCCAGACGAUUCUCAGGUGGUUUGACGCCGGUGAACAGCUAUGGCCUCUGAUAACG
Molecule: small nucleolar RNA, 157 nt
Organism: Caenorhabditis briggsae
Lineage: Eukaryota; Metazoa; Nematoda; Chromadorea; Rhabditida; Rhabditidae
Rfam family: Nematode snoRNA ceN47
Source: Rfam